GUGUUUUCUUAUUUUCUUUUUAAUUUCAUUUAAGAAAAAAAUCUGAGCUCUGAUUGGCUCCUGACAUCACCGAUCAUCGCGGUGCCGGACACGGGAGCUGUCAGCAUUAGAUUCCGGGUGCAGAUUGCAGAACGACGGUGGUGGCGCGCGACUGCGGAUUGCACAGGAGUUAAGGCGCUCGGAUGAUGUAAACAAACUUUGGGCGCGGGAUUGAUGGAGUGAUAAGUUAAGUUAUAUUUGUCUUUGGCUUUGAGUGAUGUUUGUUUACUAAAUUGGGUGCGGCCUAGGAACUGGAAAUUUCGACCUGGCGUUAGGUGAUUUCUCCUCAGCAGUUGCAUCAGCCUUGCUGAAUUUUAGGCUUUUCCACUAUUUACCCAGCAGGACCAGUUCUUGGAUUGACAUCUAGUCCCAGUUCAUGAUAAGAUCACGUUUUUUUAAAGCUGAUGGAAAAGAAUGUAUGACACGGUGCGUUUUAAACAAUUUUAAUGCGGUCAACAUACCACCCGCGAUUUUUUUGCGGAAAUGUCAACUAGAAGGCCUACUGAUUGAGGAACAACAAACCGCGA
Molecule: non-coding RNA, 566 nt
Organism: Bemisia tabaci
Lineage: Eukaryota; Metazoa; Arthropoda; Insecta; Hemiptera; Aleyrodidae
Source: RefSeq, a predicted model, not a curated record